Molecule: ribosomal RNA, 411 nt
Filed under: Verrucomicrobiota bacterium
Lineage: Bacteria; Pseudomonadati; Verrucomicrobiota
Description: Verrucomicrobia bacterium partial 16S ribosomal RNA
Rfam family: Bacterial small subunit ribosomal RNA
Source: RNAcentral
UGGGGAAUCUUGCGCAAUGGGGGAAACCCUGACGCAGCGACGCCGCGUGCGGGAUGAAGGCCUUCGGGUUGUAAACCGCUUUCAGCAGGGACGAGGCCUUAUGGUGACGGUACCUGCAGAAGAAGCUCCGGCUAAAUACGUGCCAGCAGCCGCGGUAAUACGUAUGGAGCAAGCGUUAUCCGGAUUCAUUGGGCGUAAAGCGCUCGUAGGCGGUCUGUUAGGUCGGCAAGUUAAAUCCGGGGGCUCAACCCCCGUCCGCUUCCGAUACCGGCAGACUUGAGUUUGGUAGGGGAAAGUGGAAUUCCUAGUGUAGCGGUGGAAUGCGCAGAUAUUAGGAAGAACACCGGUGGCGAAGGCGGCCUUCUGGGCCAUAACUGACGCUGAGGAGCGAAAGCUAGGGGAGCGAACAGG